AACAUUCUGGGUCUGGGGGAGCUGGUGUGGUGAGUGGGGCAGUGGGUUCACCAUUAUCCCUGGAUCAGUCACAUACAAUGGUAAGCCAGAGGCGAUGCUGAAACAGGAUAGUCGGAAAGAUUGUUCAGGGCUGUGAAGUCCAGGAUAAGGACUCUGAGGUAAAGAAGAUAGGUUAGCCCUCCUAAAGUUUGGCGGGGGGGUUGUUUUGCUUUAUUUUAGGAACAGCUUUACUGAGCUCCCAUACAAGUCAUUCACUGUAAGUGUACAAUUCAGUGAUUCUUAGUAUAGUCAGUUGUGCAACCAUCACCACAAACUAUCUUAGGACAUUUUCCUCAACCCAAAAAGAAACCCCAAACUUCUUAACUCAUUCUAUGAGGCCAGAUACAAAGCCAAACAAAGAUAUCACUGGAAAAAAAAAAAAAAAAUGAGGCAAACUACAAGGCGAUAUCCCUAAUGAAUACAGAAGCAAAAAGCCCUCCACAAAAUACUGGUAAACUGGGACACCUGCAUGGCUCAGCAGCUAAGCAUCUGCCCUUGACUCAGGGCGUGACCCCGGGGUCCUGGGAUCGAGUCCCACAUCAGGCUCCUGCAGGGAGCCUGCUUCUCCCUCUGCCUCUGUCUCUGCAUCUCUCGGCAUCUCUCAUGAAUAAAUAAAAUCUUAAAAAAAAAAUACUGGUAAACUAAAUCCAGCAAGAUAUUAAAAGGCACUUACACCAUGACCAAGUGGAAAUUAUUCCAGGAAUAGAAGCAUGAUUCAACACACAAAAUUCAAUCAGUAAUCAUGUUAAUAAGAGAAAAAUACAAGAAUAUCUCAAUAGACAGAAAAAGCAUUUGACAAAAUCUAGCAUCCUUUCAUGAUAAAACAUUCAACAACCUAAAAUGAGAGGAACUUCCUCAAUGGGAUAAAGGGCAUCUACAAAAAUACACCUCACACCUAAAUGGUAAAAGACUAAAAGCUUCCCCCCCUAAGAUUAUGAACAACACAGAUGUCCCCUCUCACCACCUCUAUUCAACAUUAUACUUAAAGCCAGUGUAAUUAGGCAAGAAAAAUAAAUAAAAAGCAACCAAGUGGAUAAGGAAAAAGUAGAUGACCUCUAUUUGCAGAUGGCAUGAUUGUUAGAUUAAAAACCAUGGGACGCAUGGGUGGCUCAGGGGUUGAGCACCUUGCCUUCAGCCCAGGGCGUGAUCCUGGAGUCCUGGGAUGGAGUCCCAUGUCAGGCUCCCUGCAUGGAGCCUGCUUUUCCCUCUGCCUGUGUCUCUGUCUCUCUCUCUGUCUCUCUCAUGAAUAAAUAAAUAAAAUAUUUUAAAAAAAUAAAGUUCUAAAACUAUCUUCAAAAAAAAAUCCAAAAAAAUAAAAACAUAAAAAAAUAAAAAUAAAAAAAACCUAAAGAAUCCCCCCACCCCCCCAAAAAAAAGCUAAUGAAGGAGUUCAGCAAAAUUGCAGGACAGAAGAUCAAUAUACAUAUUCAGUUGCAUUUCUAUAUGUAAACAAUCCAAAAUAUAAUUCUCUUAGCAUCAAAAGGAAUACAAAGGAAUAGAUUUAACCAAGGAAGAAUAAGACUUGUAUACUGAAAAAUACAAAACAUUGUUCCAAAAAAAUAAAAAUCACAGACAACAUAUAUAAAUCCAUACUCGUGCAAAGACUUCAUAGUGUUAAGAUGGCAAUAAUCCCCAAAUUGAAAGAUUCAAUGCAAUCCCUUUAAAAUUCUAAGUGCCUUUUCUGCAGAAACAGGUUAAUCCUAAAAUUCAUAUGGAAUUGUAAGGGACCACAGAUAACUGAACCCAUCAUGCCACAGACGAACAAAGUAGGAGGAUUCACCCUUCCUGAUUUCAAAUUUUUAACAAAGCUAGAGUAAUCAAAACAGUGGUACCGGCAUAAGAGCAGCUAUACAGAUCAGAACAGACUUGAGAGUCCAGAAACAGACCCAUACAUCUAUAACCAGCAGAAUUCGGCAAAGGCGCCAAGUUUGUAACAAUGGGGAAGGAACAGUCUUUUCAACAAAUUGUACUGGGACAACUGGCUAUCCACAUACAAAAGAAUGACUCUGAACCCCUACGUCACACCAUAUAAAAUAAUUAACUCAAAAUGGACCAAAGACUUAAAAUAUACAGCUAAAAAUAUAAAACUCUUUGAAGGAGUAUAAAUCUUCAUGACUUUGGACUUCACGACAUAGUCUUAAACAGAACACCUAAAACACAAGCAACAAAAGAAGAAAUGAAUUGGACUUCAGCAAAAUUAAGAACGUUUGUGAGUCACAAGACACUAUCAAGAAAACAAAGAAACAGCCCAAAGAAUGAGAGAACGUGCUUGUGCACCACGCUCAGCAUGUGUACCCGGUGUGAAGAAUGUAUAAAACAUCCUUACAAUUCAACAAAAUGACAAUCCAAUUUUAAAAGGAGUAAAGGACCUGAAUAAAUAAUUCUCCAAAGAAAAUGUAAAAAUGGCUAUUCAUUACAGGAAAAGAUGUUCAACAUCAUUAGUCAUUAGAAAAUGGAAAUAAGAGCACAUCGAAAUAGCUCUUCCAUCAACUAAAAUGACUAGUGGAAAAUAAAAAGCCACCAAGUGUUUGCAGAGAAAUCAGAACCCUCCUACACUGCUGCUAUCGGGAACAUAAAAUGAAACAGCAGGUGCAGAAGGUGACGUGGAGAAGGAGGACUGGGUAGUAACUGCUUAAGGUAUACAGGGUUUCCUUUGGAGAAAACAUUCUGAGAGGAUGGUAACAACUGCAGAUCAUUUGGAUAUAAUAAAAACCACUUUAACAUACUUAAAACGGUGACUUUUAAGUGAUUUUGUUUUUACAUUAAAAAAAGAGAGAGAGAGACCUCAAACCCUUUAGCCAUCAUUCCCUAAAACUCUCAGCCCUAGACAA
RNAcentral lists this long non-coding RNA (2870 nucleotides) under Canis lupus familiaris (dog). RNAcentral describes it as "lncRNA (ENSCAFG00000058985.1)". The record is from RNAcentral. Lineage: Eukaryota; Metazoa; Chordata; Mammalia; Carnivora; Canidae.